GUUUGUUUGAAGUUAUAAAGAAUUUGACCUGCCCCCUGAUUAACUAUUAAAGGGCCGCAGUAUUAUAACUGUGCAAAGGUAGCAUAAUCAUUAGGUUUUUAAUUGAAAUCUCGUAUGAAUGGUUGGACAAAAGAAAGACUCUCUUUAUAUUAAGUUUUGAAUUUAACUUUUAAGUGAAAAGGCUUAAAUAUUCUAAAGGGACGAUAAGACCCUAUAAAACUUUACAUUGUCAUUAAUUUUGAUUGAAUUUAUAAAAUAAGAAUUUUAUUUGAUCAUCUGUUAUGUUGGGGAGAUACAAGUAAAAUAUUUUUUUAACUGCUUGAUAGUUAUACAAUUAUUAGUGAGUAAGUAGAAGAUCCUUUUUAAGAUUAGUAGAUUAAGUUACUUUAGGGAUAACAGUGUAAUUUCUUUUGAGAGUUCUUAUCGAAAAAGAAGGUUGCAACCUCGAUGUUGAAUUAAAAUAUCUAUAUAAUGGAGAGGUUAUAUAAGAAGGUCUGUUCGACCUUGAAAUUUUUACAUGAUUUGAGUUCAAACCGGUGUGAG
RNAcentral lists this ribosomal RNA (543 nucleotides) under Longpotamon acutum. RNAcentral describes it as "partial 16S ribosomal RNA". It matches the Rfam family "Bacterial large subunit ribosomal RNA", at positions 1829 to 2625 of the family's 2925-position model. Lineage: Eukaryota; Metazoa; Arthropoda; Malacostraca; Decapoda; Potamidae. The record is from RNAcentral.